CCUACGGGGUGCAGCAGUGAAGAAUAUUGGUCAAUGGGCGGAAGCCUGAACCAGCCAAGUAGCGUGCAGGAUGACGGCCCUACGGGUUGUAAACUGCUUUUAUACGGGAAUAACGCGCCUUACGUGUAGGGCUUUGCAUGUACCGUAUGAAUAAGGACCGGCUAAUUCCGUGCCAGCAGCCGCGGUAAUACGGAAGGUCCGGGCGUUAUCCGGAUUUAUUGGGUUUAAAGGGAGCGUAGGCCGCAUGUCAAGCGUGCUGUGAAAUGUCCGGGCUCAACCCGGGCCUUGCAGCGCGAACUGGCGUGCUUGAGUCCGCGGAAAGCAGGCGGAAUUCGUCGUGUAGCGGUGAAAUGCUUAGAUAUGACGAAGAACCCCGAUUGCGAAGGCAGCUUACUGCAGCGGAACUGACGCUGAUGCUCGAAAGCGCGGGUAUCGAACAGGAUUAGAUACCCGAGUAGUC
This 460-nucleotide ribosomal RNA is filed under the name uncultured bacterium. RNAcentral's name for it is "partial 16S ribosomal RNA". It matches the Rfam family "Bacterial small subunit ribosomal RNA", at positions 338 to 795 of the family's 1533-position model. The record is from RNAcentral.